AAGCCACUGUUCCCGUCGCAGCGCGCGAGCUACUGUUCCGUCUCUACAAGAGUUGCCCGCCCCUUGCCGGGGUCCCUCCGCUAGUCGGGCCAAGCAGGCUGCCAGCAUCGCAGAGUCCAACAAGUUUCCAGGCGGCGAGUGCCAGCACACACACACACAGAUGGCCCGUGAACUUCAUCGGGUCGCUACUGUUCUUCCGCAUCUCUCACCUGCCCACGCCUGCGCGUUGCUCAUCUGUUAAUCAUUUGCCUUCGGUAUCGCCUCCGAUCCGCACUGUGCCCUUGUCAGCUAAUUUUAGCCACUGCACGCAGGGUCCUGCUGAUUCGGGAAAAAAUGUUUGCCAACUCUCCUUUUUGUGUGUUUUUAUUCACAUAUAGCAUCAAGCAGUGAAGUACUUAUACUCAAAUCAGAUGGAAACUUUCUUUCAAUGACAGUUGUUUUAUUAUUGUUUACAUCGUUUGAUUAAGUUUAAAUACAAGAAAGUCGUGUAUUUCAGACAAAAUAAAUUCAUCCAACUGAAAAUACUUUUUAAUCGUGAAGCAAAAUUCAUUAGGUGAGAUCCGAUGGUUUGUGAUUACUUGUUUUGUGGUUUGAGAAGUACAGCAGAUUCAGUGAUCGUGUUUGUAAGAGAGAUUGCAUCCCUGUGAUACGACCUCCAGUCCGUUGCCCUGACGAUGGGGUUUGUCGACUACCUCUCGUCGUCACGCAGGAUAGUGUAAACACGUGACUGCACGCGCUCCUGACGGUUUAAAGUGUCGCGCGUGCUACGUUCUCGAAGGAUUGUCUAGUCCAGGAACCUGCAAAUGCCGUGACUGGGGUGAAAGGAAUUUUCACAGUAUAACUUUGUGGACGUGUACCUGAGCAGACAGAGGCUCCCCACGACUCUCACGAUGGAAACUGAGCUCAACAUCACCAUGCUGCUGACCUCGUCGUCCCCGCCGUCCUUCAGUCCACCUACCCCAGUGUGGUGCACCAAAUAUCUGCGGGCACGUUAAGCCAACUGAAGCUUGGCGUCACUUCCGGCUCCAGAAGCACCGACCUGCUGGAGCUGGCUCUCAACGACAGCAAUUCAUCAACAUCUUCCGUGCUGAUGCAGGCUCCCACAUUUAAUGAGGUGAGCCUGACCAAAGCCGUUGUCUUCGGCGUCAUGUUCGUCAUCUCCUUCAUCGGCAACACAGCGACGUUGAUGCAGAUGUACAGACUGAGGAGACGAAAGUCGACUAUCAACACACUCAUCGUCAACCUCGCGCUUGCAGACCUUCUGGUCACCUUCUUCUGCAUCGCUGGCGAGGCCAUCUGGGCGGCCACCGUGCAGUGGCUUGCUGGAACCUUCACCUGCAAAUUGGUCAAGUACAUGCAGGUGUUUGCGCUGUACUUGUCUACAUACAUCACCGUAGCCAUCAGCCUCGACAGAUGUGUGGCCAUCUUGGAUCCGAUGAGGAGAAACGGAGCCACCUACAGGGUUCGAGUAAUGAUUGGUCUGGGAUGGGUGUUCAGCGCCAUCUUCAGCAUUCCACAGGCGGUGGUGUUUCAUGUCAUGCGAGGACCGUUCCAGGAGGAGUUCUACCAAUGUGUCACUUUUGGCUCCUACAAAGAAGAGUGGCAGAGACAGUUGUACUCAAUAGCCUCCCUUCUUCUCAUGUUUGUUGUGCCCCUUGUAAUCAUCGGUACCGCCUACGGCCUCAUCUUUACUACCAUUUCACGCAAGUCGCGUGAAGUUUCAGUCUUGGACAGCUUGAACCCUCUGAACAGACGCAAGGCGCUGAUAACUGUGCUCCGUCACUAUGGUCACGCGUGUCUCUGUGGGGAAGGAUGCGACCCCAAACUCUCCAGAGAAGAGUCCAUUGUCUCCUCCUGUUCAGGCGACGUCAAUGGAAGAGGCCCCGUGCGCAGUAACCUUCUGCGCAGGGCGAAGCGGAAGUCGCUGCGGAUGUCAGUGGUAAUCGUCCUGGCCUUCAUCAUCUGCUGGUCCCCAUACUACAUUAUUUUCAUCUGCAUCACCUUCUUGGACUGGCAGGAGAUCGACCCGCGGACCUUACUCUGGUUCUCGUUCAUCGGUUUGUCCAGUUCAAUGCUCAACCCAAUCAUAUACGGAGCCUUCCAACUUUGCAAGGUGCAUAAACCCAGGUCAUGGAGAAAAGGAGAAUGGCCCGGCUCCUCGUUAAAGGAGAUGGCCAAGUUCCGCGGCGCCCACUCCUCCAAGCCCCUGCUUGCCCCCCACCUCGCCCCACACGACACACGUGCUAACUGCCUGUCGUCUGCCACGUCGUCGGCCAGCUCCAGGGGCCGCCUGGUGACCGAGUGUCGCUGCGAGUCCUGCGCGCAGGAGCGACGACGACAGCUGAUGACGUCAUCACCCUUGCCGGACACGUGGCUGCGCAACGGACCCACCGGGGUCGUCCGGGAGGAGUGCCGUAGAUUCGGACACAAGCACCUUUUGCCUGGAGAUGUAAAGCGAUGUUGCUUUUUCCAUUCUUGCUGACUGCUGUGAAGUUUCCACAGACAAGGAAUAAAAUUUGUGUGUGUGUGAGAGUGAGAGAGAGAGAGAAGCAGUAAGAAGAUGAGUGUCAGAGUGAUUAACAUGUGAGAAUGGUCAAACGGUGAACCAUGUAUUUUUCUUGAUGAACUCAAACUGAAAUAAAUAUAAUGGUCUUAGAGUGAAAAGUUGGACACUCAAGUUUAUCUUAUUUUUAUUUGACAGGAUUACCGAUAUUUCAAAAAGUUUAUUAUGAUCCUGAACAAUGAAAUGCCAUAUUGGUUAUGUACUUCUGUUUCUAGUCAUUGUCGUCCAUAGAUGACUCUUGGUUUACAGCUGUGAUGGAGCUAAUUCCACUGAGAUUAUGUGUAAUUGAUAUUGCAUUGACGGACCAGCGAUUGUCGAUUUUUUUCCCUCUUGUGACCAGAAAUCAGUCAGUGGAUAACCGUGAAGAAUGUUACUUUGUGUUCUUUGUUUGAAAUUCUUCUUCGUACAAUUUUGAAAGGUUGAACAAUGAAAUUAUAAUAAUACUUUUCAUGUAAAUAUCAAUAUAUUUUUGUUUGUUUUCUUCAUUGACCUUAGUUUGCUCAAUGAGCAAAUGUCUGCCGAAAGAAGUUUGGCUUAAUUUGAGUUAGCAGACAAUUUAUUGCGGGUAUUCAGAAUAAAUGCAUCGCACCAUUGACUGGUAUUGUUCACAAUCACUUCUCUGCCUUGCUUCAACAAUCUUUCAAAUCCAGACCUUCUGUGCAAAAGCUGGAAUCUCCUGUAAAGAAAGCCUGAUGGUUGUCACUUUAUCAGACGGGUGAACUGUACUGUUGAUAUUUUUAUUGCUGUGUGAUGGGGCCCUAAAAGCCUACGUGCUUGAAAACGCUUUCACUCCUUUGGUAUUGAAAUGUUCUUUUGCCACAGAGACGAAAACAUAACAUCACUUAAAGGAUAAGCGUUGCCAUCUGUUUUCUUAAUGGGGUUAGCCAGUACACUUGUGCACCAGACUUUGAGGAAUGCCAAUGGAUUUGAAAUAAUCUUGGCGAGGACAGAAUGUGAGGGAGUGCGAGAAAGAUAUGACGAAACUUUUAGUAUUUUAUUAUGUUCUAGUAUUUAAAAUGAAAAAACUGCUGGGAAACAUUCUGAAAAUCUCAUACUUUAAAAUCGUGAAACAUAAAUUGUCUCUGUAUUUAGUUUUAAGUUGCCAGGACUCAAAGCAUUUAAUGUUCUGGGACACUUUGUAUGGAGUAUGAUCAAUUGUUUUAUUGUUCUCUUAUUUUGAAAUUGUCUUAUUCGUGAUAACUACAGUCUUUCUUACUGAUGAUGGGUACAGAAGUGCUUUCUUAGAAUCUUCUUUUCAUCAGCCUUUUGGACAAUAUAGUAAAGAAUUAACUUUUCAUUAGGGAGGAUGUCCAAUAAAUUUUCAAGGAAUACAAGAUUCAAAAGAAGAAGUCCUCAAGAACUGCUGCCUUUAUUCUAUAAGAGACUAGAUGAAGCGGAUGAAGCUUUGUCAAAGUCGUCCUAAGGUGUAACAAGAGAUGUCCAAGAACUUUGGCUUUUAUUCCUGGAGAUAAUGCGUCCUUCCGGCGUUGCCAGAGUUUUUCCAGAAAAGACUUCUCACGGAAGACUCCAUUGGACACAGUUCCCUUUUUCAAUCUGACAAUUUGGACAGUGAACAUUGUCACCAGAAAGCCGACAAAGAAAAGACUUUGAUUAUGCAAAGCUGCAUGCGUGAUGUCGUGUAUCACAAUUAUUACUGCACUUGAGAAUGACCUCAUUUCUUCACACAUUCGUUUGGCUUCAAAAAAGUUGCUGAAUUCGAGAACAGAAAUCCAGAAUCCAUUGGAAAGGAGUUUAUUGUGGUUGUGUGAUUACAGCCAAUGAUGGCCUAACCGACAUGCCUUGCAUCUGCAUCACCUGACCUUAUGUGCUUCACUCAAACGGAAAUUGUGUUCUGCUGGUUUGUGGUUAGAAAAAUAUGAUUCAUGGAUGUUUAACUCAGUGCUUUAGUGUGUGUGACAUCGCCAUCCUUUGAGUGCGUGGUUAGAAUACUUGUCAAAAGAUGGCGUGGAGCCUAUUUUUGUUUUAUUAUUUUAGAAAUGUCGUCAAAAUUGUUCAGAAUUACACAGAAAAGUAGAAAGAAAAUACGAAGUAGUAAAGCCAUAACGAAGAGAAUUUAAUACAGAUACAUGAUACCUCUAAUUAAGUUAAUCAAAAGAAAAGUCUUCGUUGCCGCCAGCACUUAAAGUUCUAAUUUGAGAAAUCGGAAAAAAAACUACCAAAUGGCUUAAAUGGCUUCUGUCUUUAGUUUUCCUUUUCAUCAACUGCACCAACAUCAAGACUGUCAUCAUCACACUUAACAGACAAGAAGUUCAGACAGUAUUAUUGAUGUUUUCUUUCUAUAUUUUUUUACUGGUCGCUUAGCCAGUUUUUUUCUGAUUUAAUUAGAGUAAUUUAAAAUCUUAGAUUAGCACGUGAUCAUCAUGGCAAACAAGAGCUCAGCCAAAAUAAUUAAAUUGAUGGCAAUGAACUGCAGGCGUUACAGUCAUCAUGGAUUCAAAGUAUUUUAAUUACUACAUUAAUUAGUAACGGAUAGACAUCUGAUCAUGGUUAGAGAUUGUUGAGGUCAGUAUCUAAUUUUCCUGUUCUAAUACUGUAUCUUUUUAUUUUAUAAAGCUUUAGGAUAAAUAAAAUAAAUGUAUAUAUUUUGUCAGUUAUCUAGCAAACCUCACCUAGCUGCAGAGCUAUUACAAUCAAAAAGAUUUCGAUAACAUUUUUGAAGCUCACAGUUUAUGUUAGCUGCAUAUUAGUUUUUCAUCUUGAGCUUUACCCUGUAGGUUAGCAUACAAACAGUUAAGUCAAUCUUGAGUCAUAUACAAAUAAAUGUUCAAGUUAUUGUCAAUAAAGCCAGUUUAUUUAGCUUUUUUUUAAAUGCAGUCGUUUUAUCUCUACAUCUAUUGAUACUGCAGAAAUUUUUUAAAAUGAAUUGAGUCAGGUUGCUGAUGAACAACAAACGUGUUUACCUUUUCCUUAAGUUGGAGAACCAGCAGGUCAUGUGAUCUGAAUGUCAUGUGGUCCGUGAAUCCUCCUGAAGUAGUCAUCAAGAUAUCCAUAUCUCACUCAGUCUCUCAAAUGCCCGAGGCGAGCAUAAAGCAAUGUUGUUUGCAGCGAAAACAAACAAUCAGCUCUUGAUGAACAUGCAUUUGUGUACACUGAAUGUUUACUUGCAGCGGCGAUGAUGUUGAUGCCGACGGCGAUAGAACACAAUGACGACUUACACGUGUUUUAUUGACAUGCGUGCGUGCGUUUGCGAAUGCGUUGAAUAAUUAUUGAAUAAUAAUUAAUUGAAUAUUAGCGCAGAAACGAGUCUAGGUUCUUAUACAUGAACUGCAGUUGUUAGCUAAUCCUACAUUCCAGGCAUGGUAAUAUUUUAAUAAAUAACAGAAAAAUAGCUAAAUUUUCGUUUUUUUAUUAUUUUCAUUGCCUUCCAUAAAUUGUGUCAUUAAUUUGCUGGUUUGGUCACAAUAUUAUUAUUAUUGAUGUGUUUGAACAUGAUGUACACAGUGUCUGACAUUUAAUCUGAAAGCAAUGGUGAGCAAUGUCAUAAAGUUGGAUCAAGUAAUUUCAUGUUCAUGUCCGCGUGUUUCUCUCCUCAUCUUUCACAGUAUUUCCCGGGGAAUUUUUUGGGUGCUUCUGUGUGUUUAAGUAUGAAUGUGAAUGUGAAUGUCAAUACUUGGCUUGUAUUAUUGCUGUAAACGACAAAUUUUUGAGUGUAAGUUAUUAUUUUCGAAAUAAGAUUAAUUAACACAUACAGACGUGCGCAUAUAUAUAUAUGAUCCGCAUGCACGAACAUGUUUUAUAGUGUAUGUGUGUGUGUGUGUGUGUGUGUGCUUGGGUGUGUGUGUGGCAUGUAAAUAUACAUAAAUUGAGUGCUUGUAUACUAUAUUACUUUUUAAUAACGUUUGAGAGAUACACUGCAUAGAUAUUCUGAAUAUUAAUUAGCUGAAUUCCAAAUGUUUAAGACAACAAACUUUGUUUACUUGUUUACUUUGACCUGUGUACAGCCUACAGGUCCCACGGGAUGAUAGGCAUCCACAAGAACUCACGUGCCAAGAAACUAAACUCAAAUGAACAAGAAAAGUCUUUCUUCCUCUCUAUCUUUCUUUUUCAUGGUGAUUAAAUGUCAAUCAUGGUCAUAAAA
This 6662-nucleotide unclassified non-coding RNA is filed under the name Pomacea canaliculata. RNAcentral's name for it is "gonadotropin-releasing hormone receptor-like, transcript variant X2". Lineage: Eukaryota; Metazoa; Mollusca; Gastropoda; Architaenioglossa; Ampullariidae. The record is from RNAcentral.